CCGAGGAGGGUGGGGGUGUUGCGGAGGCCACGGGCUGCCUGACCCACUUUGCUGGGCUGCGUCACCGCUCCCUUGUGCGUGCCCUGCCCUGUCCCUGCUGUGGGGCUGGGCCCAUGACCUGGGUGCCACCAGUGACAGCAGCGUGAUGGCACUGCCAGCAUUGCGGCGUCUGGCGCCGUGGCAGCCUGCUGGGCACAUGGGGGCAGCGGUACCCAGGACUCCGCCAGCAGUGAUUGCAGCCCGGGGAAGCCAUUUAGCUUUUAAGCACCCUUCCAGCCUGCUUAAAAAUGCAUUCAGAAUCAAAUGAGUUUGUGCAGCGGGGCCAUGGCUGGCUGCUCUGGCUGGGUGAGAGGCUGAGAAUUAGGACCAAAGUAGCUCGAGUCAGAGUCAAAAUUAAAUUUAUUGUUUCUGACCUUAUUUGGAGUACAGUGCAUUUACAAGUGAUUAAUGAGGCUUACAGCAGUUUCAGGCUCAGUCGUGCUGCUUGGCGCAGCCUUUUGGACUCUCCUGUCCUUGGUGAGACCCCUCAGAGCCUGGGAACCUGCCUGCAUGCACCGAGCUUGGCAGUGCUGGGCCAGAAGGGAGCCUGCAGGAGCCAGGACGGGCCUUUGGAAGCGGCGCUGAGGCCAGGACAGCCAAAAUGGAACCGGCCUGGGGGUUCUGGAGCCAAAAAUCAAAGUGCUGCAUUUCUCGUUCAUGGGAAAAAUGAGGUGGGCAUUUACCCUCUGGUGAUUAAGUCUCCCACUAUGAGCACAUCCCCAUCCUCUGUGCCACCGAGCCCCUGAAUCCCACUGGGGCUGCUGCCCAUGGGCUUGGCUCAGCUGCGUUCCUCUCCUCUGCCUCUGGGCUGCAGAGCCCUGCACCUCCCGUUCCAGCUCCAAGUUCCCCAUCCAGACAGGGAGAACGGGGAGACGCCUGGGAGCAGCAGGCCAUGUGGUGGAGGCUCCGUGCAGGCAUUCAAGGACACUGCCAGCGCUGUGAGGCUGCAGCAGCUCAGCCCUGCCUGCCCCGUGGCACCGAACAUCCCCUGUCCAGGUAGAUGUACUGCUCAGCCAUCAACUCCCAGCACAAGAAAAGGUGGCAGUUUGUCAGCCUGGAAUCAAAAGGUUGUUAAUGACAUACAUAUUAGACACAGAAAACUGGAUUAACAAUGACACUUUGGCCCUGAGGGCUUUUUUUGGCUCUGGAAAUAAAUUCUACCCUUGAUCUAUUCUGCCUACAA
Anas platyrhynchos (mallard) is the source of this 1222-nucleotide non-coding RNA. The record is from RefSeq and is a predicted model, not a curated record. Lineage: Eukaryota; Metazoa; Chordata; Aves; Anseriformes; Anatidae.